Molecule: ribosomal RNA, 865 nt
Filed under: uncultured bacterium
Lineage: Bacteria
Description: bacterial SSU rRNA
Rfam family: Bacterial small subunit ribosomal RNA
Source: RNAcentral
CUGGCUCAGAAUGAACRCUGGCGGCGUGCCUAACACAUGCAAGUCGGAUGUGCCCGCAAGGUGCAUGGCAGACGGGUGAGUAACGCGUAGGAGACCUACCUUUUUGUGGGGAAUAACGUUCCGAAAGGGACGAUAAUACCGCAUGAGACCACAGGAUUGGAUGCCUGUGGUGAAAGCCGGGGACCGUAAGGCCUGGCGCAAGAAGAGGGUCCUGCGUCUGAUUAGCUAGUUGGCGGGGUAACGGCCCACCAAGGCGACGAUCAGUAGCCGGCCUGAGAGGGUGAUCGGCCACACUGGAACUGAGACACGGUCCAGACUCCUACGGGAGGCAGCAGUGGGGAAUUUUGCGCAAUGGGCGAAAGCCUGACGCAGCAACGCCGCGUGGGUGAUGAAGGUCUUCGGAUUGUAAAACCCUGUCGUCAGGGACGAAGGCAUGGGAUUGAAUAUUUCCUAUGCUUGACGGUACCUGGAGAGGAAGCCCCGGCUAACUCUGUGCCAGCAGCCGCGGUAAUACAGAGGGGGCAAGCGUUAUUCGGAAUUAUUGGGCGUAAAGGGCGCGUAGGCGGUUCUUUAAGUGAGAUGUGCAAUCCCCGGGCUCAACCUGGGAACUGCAUCUCAUACUGGAGAGCUAGAGUGCUGGAGAGGGUGGUAGAAUUCCACGUGUAGCGGUGAAAUGCGUAGAGAUGUGGAGGAAUACCAGUGGCGAAGGCGGCCACCUGGACAGUAACUGACGCUGAGGCGCGAAAGUGUGGGUAGCAAACAGGAUUAGAUACCCUGGUAGUCCACGCUGUAAACGAUGAACACUUGGUGUGGUGGGAGUUGACCCCUGCCGUGCCGGAGCUAACGCGUUAAGUGUUCCGCCUGG